RNAcentral lists this long non-coding RNA (312 nucleotides) under Numida meleagris (helmeted guineafowl). RNAcentral describes it as "lncRNA (ENSNMEG00000013524.1)". Lineage: Eukaryota; Metazoa; Chordata; Aves; Galliformes; Numididae. The record is from RNAcentral.
AAGAUUUACGAAUUUCAAGGGCUGGAAUGUAAAUUUGACAUUUUGAUACACUACUGGUUAUUACAGCGUAUUCAUCUCUUAGGACAACAGAGAAUAAAUCAGAGUCUCAAUUAUGGAUGUCUAUUGGACAAAUCCUUCAAAAUACCUGACAGAUACAUCACAAAACUAAAGCAGGUACCUCUUAUUUGCUUUCUAAUGAACCUGAAAGGACUUGAGGAAACUGUAUAAGCAGCCCAGAAAUUACCAUAUUUGUCUAAACCCAUUUUUGUUAACCACAAACAUGAUGGAUUCUACUUGAAUUUUCAAGUUUGA